CUUGCCGGCGGGACCAUAUCCGGAGGCUGGCGAUUUGGCGGGAAUUGCGGCCACUGGGCUGAGCGCCGAAGUCCUGACAACUUGGACCAGGGAAAUGAACUCCAGCCGCGCCUGGCUUUGGGAAGAUCUUGGGAAGACAAGGAAUGGCUACAGAAGAAAAUUCCCCAUUGAGCAAGAAUGGUCAAAUUCCUGCAAUUGCCAGUUUGAAAGUAACAAGAACAUCAUCUGAAUCUAUUUUCUUUUCCACAGAGUUGUGAAGAGAGUCUAACAUAAAGCUGGCUACCUUUCUUUGGAAUGAAAGGUGUUUGAGACAAAGUGA
This is a long non-coding RNA of Thamnophis elegans (Western terrestrial garter snake), 319 nucleotides long. RefSeq lists it as uncharacterized. The transcript is spliced from 3 exons. The record is from RefSeq and is a predicted model, not a curated record. NCBI's taxonomy places the organism in Eukaryota, Metazoa, Chordata, Lepidosauria, Squamata, Natricidae.